GAUGAACGCUGGCGGCGUGCUUAACACAUGCAAGUCGAACGAUGAAAGCGGGAGCUUGCUCCUGCUGGAUUAGUGGCGAACGGGUGAGUAACACGUGAGCAAUCUGCCCCGAACUCUGGGAUAAGCGUUGGAAACGACGUCUAAUACCGGAUACGACGCGCGAAGGCAUCUUCUGCGCGUGGAAAGAAUUUCGGUUCGGGAUGAGCUCGCGGCCUAUCAGCUAGUUGGCGAGGUAACGGCUCACCAAGGCGACGACGGGUAGCCGGCCUGAGAGGGUGACCGGCCACACUGGGACUGAGACACGGCCCAGACUCCUACGGGAGGCAGCAGUGGGGAAUAUUGCACAAUGGGCGCAAGCCUAAUGCAGCAACGCCGCGUGAGGGACGACGGCCUUCGGGUUGUAAACCUCUUUUAGCAGGGAAGAAGCGAAGGUGACGGUACCUGCAGAAAAAGCACCGGCUAACUACGUGCCAGCCGCCGCCGUAA
This 486-nucleotide ribosomal RNA is filed under the name uncultured bacterium. Its description in RNAcentral is "partial 16S ribosomal RNA". It matches the Rfam family "Bacterial small subunit ribosomal RNA", at positions 28 to 523 of the family's 1533-position model. The record is from RNAcentral.